UGGCGAACGGGUGAGUAACGCGUUGGUGACCUACCCCAAACGUGUGGGAUAACAGUUCCGAAAGAACUGCUAAUACCGCAUGUGGUUAUCGGGUUUAGAAACUGAUAACUAAAGGAGCAAUUCGCUUUGGGAGGGACCUGCGUCCCAUCAGCUAGUUGGUGAGGUAACGGCUCACCAAGGCUACGACGGGUAGGGACCUGAGAGGGUGGCCCCCCACAAUGGAACUGAAACACGGUCCAUACACCUACGGGUGGCAGCAGUAGGGAAUAUUGCACAAUGGGCGAAAGCCUGAUGCAGCAACGCCGCGUGUGCGAUGAAGGCCUUCGGGUCGUAAAGCACUUUUCUGAGAGAUGAGAAAGGACAGUAUCUCAGGAAUAAGUCUCGGCUAACUACGUG
Molecule: ribosomal RNA, 396 nt
Filed under: uncultured bacterium
Lineage: Bacteria
Description: bacterial SSU rRNA
Rfam family: Bacterial small subunit ribosomal RNA
Source: RNAcentral